GAACGGGGUUCCGUCUGAGUUGCCUUGGUUGGUGUUGAUUACGCUCCACUUUCCACCAGAAAACCUGCAAGCAAGCCUCGCACCACCACUGGGGUAGUGGGGGCCCUCCGACGAUCAAGUCAGAGGAGAUUGGAGGAGAAGGAGAGAUAAUUGUAGGUAGUAGGAGAAUGCGCUGGAAGUUCUUGCUUACCUCCCCUCUUCUCCCCCCAGCCGCAUAUAUACCAGGCUGGGGGGUCCUUCUGGGGGGUUGAUCAUCGUGUGGCACGAUGGAGUUGCCACUGACAUG
RNAcentral lists this long non-coding RNA (286 nucleotides) under Phoenix dactylifera (date palm). RNAcentral's name for it is "long non-coding RNA (PDAC_LNC020083)". Lineage: Eukaryota; Viridiplantae; Streptophyta; Magnoliopsida; Arecales; Arecaceae. The record is from RNAcentral.